This 228-nucleotide long non-coding RNA is filed under the name Fukomys damarensis (Damara mole-rat). RNAcentral describes it as "lncRNA (ENSFDAG00000024531.1)". The record is from RNAcentral. Lineage: Eukaryota; Metazoa; Chordata; Mammalia; Rodentia; Bathyergidae.
CACAGAAAUACAUUACUGUCUCUAUUUUGAAAAGAUGUUAUUUCCUUCUGUGCUUUGCUGAAAGUAGAGGAAGCUUUCCUGUUUGUCACCCCUUAAGGUUGUCAUGGCCUAACACAGAAGAGACUCAAAAAAAAAAUUGAUAAUAAUGGACAGAACAAAGGAAAUGCCCCAAAGAUGUUAACAUUAUCACUAGAUGUACCGCUAGCUUCAAUUCAAUCCAGGUAUUUA